RNAcentral lists this transfer RNA (76 nucleotides) under Pseudomonadota bacterium. Its description in RNAcentral is "tRNA-Asn". It matches the Rfam family "tRNA". From Rfam's summary of the family: Transfer RNA (tRNA) molecules are approximately 80 nucleotides in length. Lineage: Bacteria; Pseudomonadati; Pseudomonadota. RNAcentral also lists the same sequence under 2 other names. The record is from RNAcentral.
UCUGGCGUAGCUCAACCGGUAGAGCGCGUGGCUGUUAACCACGAUGUUGGAGGUUCGAGUCCUCCCGCCAGAGCCA